This 482-nucleotide ribosomal RNA is filed under the name uncultured bacterium. Its description in RNAcentral is "bacterial SSU rRNA". It matches the Rfam family "Bacterial small subunit ribosomal RNA", at positions 28 to 507 of the family's 1533-position model. The record is from RNAcentral.
GACGAACGCUGGCGGCGUGCCUAACACAUGCAAGUCGAGCGAAGUUUUCAAAGUAGAUUUCUUCGGAUUGAAACUUUGAUUAUCUUAGCGGCGGACGGGUGAGUAACGCGUGAGAAACCUGCCUUUCACAAAGGGAUAGCCUCGGGAAACUGGGAUUAAUACCUUAUGAUACUAAUUUUUCGCAUGGAAGAUUAGUCAAAGCGCAAAGCGGUGAAAGAUGGUCUCGCGUCCCAUUAGUUAGUUGGUGAGGUAACGGCUCACCAAGACCGCGAUGGGUAGCCGGCCUGAGAGGGUGAACGGCCACACUGGAACUGAGACACGGUCCAGACUCCUACGGGAGGCAGCAGUGGGGAAUAUUGCACAAUGGAGGAAACUACUGAUGCAGCGACGCCGCGUGAACGAUGAAGGCUUCGGGUCGUAAAGUUCUGUCCUAAGGGACGAUAAUGACGGUACCUUAGGAGGAAGCCCCGGCUAACUACGUG